This is a long non-coding RNA of Prinia subflava (tawny-flanked prinia), 810 nucleotides long. RefSeq lists it as uncharacterized. Lineage: Eukaryota; Metazoa; Chordata; Aves; Passeriformes; Cisticolidae. The record is from RefSeq and is a predicted model, not a curated record. The transcript is spliced from 2 exons.
AAUUCUUUCCCUUCUGUUCUUGGGUUACUAGAGUGGUCCUUGAAUAAAAGACUUCUUCUAGUUGGGCAAUUCUGUAACAGUUUUAUAAAAAAAAAAACCAGCAGCUAUUUCUUCAUUAAGUUCCUGAAUCAAAAUUGACAGUUUUAUCUUGUGAUGGCUUUAUCUUGUUUUAUUUAUAUACAGGCUCUAAGCUGUUCAAUCUCUUCAGAAUAUGUCUCAACCUAAAAUAAAGUAAAAUAUUGUACCUGUUGCAGACAGCUAUAAGCUAUGAAGAUGUAUGUUAGGAAGACUAAUGAAGCUACACAUAAUGAUCUGUGUGAUUAAACGCCAAUCACUCGCUUUUUGAAAUUUAUGAAAAUUAAAUAAAGAAUAAAAAUUGGUUACAAAAAAAUUAAUAAAAUAAUAAAAGUUCAAAAAGUUUUUAGAGACAGGACAAAUAACGAGUCAAUAAGAGGAAAAAAAAAAAAAAAAAAAAAAGGCAGUCCGCACUGUCGUGUCCCCUCCCUCCCAGACAAAGGCUAGGAAAGAGAAGGGCACUUUUCAGGAGGAAUGUCCCCUUUUUGAAGACCAAAAUUUCACGAUUAUGCAAUCUUUAUCUUAAGACAGACCCAUUUGCCCAGAGUCCCCCUUCUAAUCCUUGGCGUCCAGGAGUCUGGCUUGACCAGGUGGCUCCUGUGGAUUCAGGGAGAUAUGCAUCUUUUCUUCUGAAAAUUCUAAGGGGGGGUUCUCUUCUUCUUGUUGUAACUGUUAUCUCUGUUGAGAAACACCUCCAGGCCUCUCCUUUUUUUUUUUUUUUUUUUUUUUUUUUUU